AAGAUCAUACUUCACAGGAUCAUUUCUGUAGUAGGUCUUACCAUGCUCUCUACUCAAAUGUACAGUUGUCGCAACCACGAUGAUGAGACGUAGUCUCGUGUCCUGAGCGUGAGGCAGAUUUUUCGCGAUUGCUUUUGCUUUCGCAGAAGUCAUCGAUGAUCGUUCACUCGCGAUUUCCGCGGGCAAUGGAUACGAGGCAGUCUGAGUGGU
Anoplophora glabripennis (Asian longhorned beetle) is the source of this 210-nucleotide small nucleolar RNA. RefSeq annotates it as small nucleolar RNA U3. The record is from RefSeq and is a predicted model, not a curated record. Lineage: Eukaryota; Metazoa; Arthropoda; Insecta; Coleoptera; Cerambycidae. The transcript has a single exon.